This 460-nucleotide ribosomal RNA is filed under the name uncultured bacterium. Its description in RNAcentral is "partial 16S ribosomal RNA". It matches the Rfam family "Bacterial small subunit ribosomal RNA", at positions 338 to 795 of the family's 1533-position model. The record is from RNAcentral.
CCUACGUGUGGCAGCAGUGAGGAAUAUUGGUCAAUGGACGAGAGCCUGAACCAGCCAAGUAGCGUGAAGGAUGACUGCCCUAUGGGUUGUACACUUCUUUUAUAUGGGAAUAAAAUGUUCCCCGUGUGGGCUUUUGUAUGUACCAUAUGAAUAAGGAUCGGCUAACUCCGUGCCCGCAGCCGCGGUAAUCCGGAGGAUCCGAGCGUUUUCCGGAUUUAUUGGGUUUAAAGGGAGCGUAGGUGGUUUGUUAAGUCAGUUGUGAAAGUUUGCGGCUCAACCGUAAAAUUGCAGUUGAAACUGGCAGUCUUGAGUACAGUAGAGGUAGGCGGAAUGCGUGGUGUAGCGGUGAAAUGCUUAGAUAUCACGAAGAACUCCGAUUGCGAAGGCAGCUCACUGGACUGCAACUGACACUGAGGCUCGAAAGUGUGGGUAUCAAACAGGAUUAGAUACCCGUGUAGUC